RNAcentral lists this ribosomal RNA (466 nucleotides) under uncultured bacterium. Its description in RNAcentral is "bacterial SSU rRNA". It matches the Rfam family "Bacterial small subunit ribosomal RNA", at positions 338 to 795 of the family's 1533-position model. The record is from RNAcentral.
CCUACGGGGGGCAGCAGUGGGGAAUAUUGGACAAUGGGGGCAACCCUGAUCCAGCAAUGCCGCGUGUGUGAAGAAGGCCUGAGGGUUGUAAAGCACUUUUGUUAGGGAGGAUGGUACUCUAUGUUAAGAGCUAGGAGUAUUGACGUUACCUAAAGAAUAAGCACCGGCUAACUCCGUGCCAGCAGCCGCGGUAAUACGGAGGGUGCAAGCGUUAAUCGGAAUUACUGGGCGUAAAGGGUGCGUAGGCGGUCUUGUAAGUUAUCUGUGAAAUCCCUGGGCUUAACCUAGGUAGGAAAGAUAAGACUGCAGGACUGGAGUGUGGUAGAGGAUAGUGGAAUUUCAGGUGUAGCGGUGAAAUGCGUAGAUAUCUGAAGGAACACCAGUGGCGAAGGCGGCUAUCUGGACCAACACUGACGCUGAGGCACGAAAGCGUGGGGAGCAAACAGGAUUAGAUACCCUAGUAGUC